CAGCAGCCACGGGAAUACAGAGGGUGCGAGCGUUAAUUGGAUUUACUGGGCGUAAAGCGUGCGUAGGCGGCUUCUUAAGUCGGAUGUGAAAUCCCUGAGCUUAACUUAGGAAUUGCAUUCGAUACUGGGAAGCUAGAGUAUGGGAGAGGAUGGUAGAAUUCCAGGUGUAGCGGUGAAAUGCGUAGAGAUCUGGAGGAAUACCGAUGGCGAAGGCAGCCAUCUGGCCUAAUACUGACGCUGAGGUACGAAAGCAUGGGGAGCAAACAGGAUUAGAUACCCCCGUAGUCCCUGUCUCUUAUAC
RNAcentral lists this ribosomal RNA (301 nucleotides) under uncultured bacterium. RNAcentral's name for it is "partial 16S ribosomal RNA". It matches the Rfam family "Bacterial small subunit ribosomal RNA", at positions 509 to 807 of the family's 1533-position model. The record is from RNAcentral.